RNAcentral lists this transfer RNA (77 nucleotides) under Scleromatobacter humisilvae. RNAcentral describes it as "tRNA-Ile". It matches the Rfam family "tRNA". From Rfam's summary of the family: Transfer RNA (tRNA) molecules are approximately 80 nucleotides in length. Their secondary structure includes four short double-helical elements and three loops (D, anti-codon, and T loops). Further hydrogen bonds mediate the characteristic L-shaped molecular structure. tRNAs have two regions of fundamental functional importance: the anti-codon, which is responsible for specific mRNA codon recognition, and the 3' end, to which the tRNAs corresponding amino acid is attached (by aminoacyl-tRNA synthetases). tRNAs cope with the degeneracy of the genetic code in two manners: having more than one tRNA (with a specific anti-codon) for a particular amino acid; and 'wobble' base-pairing, i.e. permitting non-standard base-pairing at the 3rd anti-codon position. The record is from RNAcentral. Lineage: Bacteria; Pseudomonadati; Pseudomonadota; Betaproteobacteria; Burkholderiales; Sphaerotilaceae.
GGGCCUGUAGCUCAGUUGGUUAGAGCACCGUCUUGAUAAGGCGGGGGUCGUUGGUUCGAAUCCAACCAGGCCCACCA